UACCACAGCCAUAACACAUCAGCCUGUGCUAUCAGAUCUCAAGCUAAGUAGGGCCAGGUUUGGUCAGUACUUGGAUGGGAGACGUCCAAGGAAAACCCUAUUGCUGCAGGAA
Ribosomal RNA from Chelonoidis abingdonii (Abingdon island giant tortoise), 112 nucleotides. The record is from Ensembl. NCBI's taxonomy places the organism in Eukaryota, Metazoa, Chordata, Testudines, Testudinidae.